CGAACGGGUGAGUAACACGUGGGCAACCUGCCCAAAAGAGGGGGAUAACACUUGGAAACAGGUGCUAAUACCGCAUAACCAUAGUUACCGCAUGGUAACUAUGUAAAAGGUGGCUAUGCUACCGCUUUUGGAUGGGCCCGCGGCGCAUUAGCUAGUUGGUGGGGUAAAGGCUUACCAAGGCAAUGAUGCGUAGCCGAACUGAGAGGUUGAUCGGCCACAUUGGGACUGAGACACGGCCCAAACUCCUACGGGAGGCAGCAGUAGGGAAUCUUCCACAAUGGGCGAAAGCCUGAUGGAGCAACGCCGCGUGGGUGAAGAAGGUCUUCGGAUCGUAAAACCCUGUUGUUAGAGAAGAAAGUGCGUGAGAGUAACUGUUCACGUUUUGACGGUAUCUAACCAGAAAGCCGCGGCUAACUACGUGCCAGCAGCCGCGGUAAUACGUAGGUGGCAAGCGUUAUCCGGAUUUAUUGGGCGUAAAGGGAACGCAGGCGGUCUUUUAAGUCUGAUGUGAAAGCCUUCGGCUUAACCGGAGUAGUGCAUUGGAAACUGGGAGACUUGAGUGCAGAAGAGGAGAGUGGAACUCCAUGUGUAGCGGUGAAAUGCGUAGAUAUAUGGAAGAACACCAGUGGCGAAAGCGGCUCUCUGGUCUGUAACUGACGCUGAGGUUCGAAAGCGUGGGUAGCAAACAGGAUUAGAUACCCUGGUAGUCCACGCCGUAAACGAUGAAUGCUAAGUGUUGGAGGGUUUCCGCCCUUCAGUGCUGCAGCUAACGCAAUAAGCAUUCCGCCUGGGGAGUACGACCGC
Molecule: ribosomal RNA, 804 nt
Filed under: uncultured bacterium
Lineage: Bacteria
Description: bacterial SSU rRNA
Rfam family: Bacterial small subunit ribosomal RNA
Source: RNAcentral